Molecule: transfer RNA, 76 nt
Filed under: Chloroflexales bacterium ZM16-3
Lineage: Bacteria; Bacillati; Chloroflexota; Chloroflexia; Chloroflexales
Also listed under: 3 other names
Description: tRNA-Ala
Rfam family: tRNA
About the family: Transfer RNA (tRNA) molecules are approximately 80 nucleotides in length.
Source: RNAcentral
GGGGCUUUAGCUCAGUUGGGAGAGCGCGACACUGGCAGUGUCGAGGUCAGGGGUUCGAACCCCCUAAGCUCCACCA